GUGCUCACUUUGGUAGCACAUAUACUAAAAUUGGAACAGUACAGAGAAGAUUAGUAUGGCCCUUGUGUACAGAUGACAUGCAAAUUCGUGAAGCAUUGCAUACUUUU
Molecule: small nuclear RNA, 107 nt
Filed under: Chinchilla lanigera (long-tailed chinchilla)
Lineage: Eukaryota; Metazoa; Chordata; Mammalia; Rodentia; Chinchillidae
Source: RNAcentral